This 936-nucleotide ribosomal RNA is filed under the name uncultured archaeon. RNAcentral's name for it is "bacterial SSU rRNA". It matches the Rfam family "Archaeal small subunit ribosomal RNA", at positions 1 to 921 of the family's 1478-position model. The record is from RNAcentral.
UUCCGGUUGAUCCUGCCGGACCUUACUGCUAUCGGGAUAGGACUAAGACAUGUUAGUCGCGCGUCUCCCAGCCAUGAAAGAGACGCGGCACACGGCUCAGUAACAUGUGGCUAACCUGCCCUUAGGACAGAGACAACCCCGGGAAACUGGGGCUAAUCUCUGAUAGGUGUGGAAUUCUGGAAUGAGUCUACACCCAAAAGACGCCUGAAUCAUGCUUUAGACAUCGCCUAAGGAUGGGGCCGCAGCCGAUCAGGUUGUUGGUGAGGUAACGGCUCACCAAGCCUAUAACCGGUACGGGCCGUGAGAGCGGGAGCCCGGAGAUGGGCACUGAGACAAGGGCCCAGGCCCUACGGGGCGCAGCAGUUGCGAAAACUCCGCAAUGCGCGAAAGCGUGACGGGGCUACCCCGAGUGCCGCCCGUUGAGGGCGGCUUUUCCACGGUGUAAGGAGCCGUGGGAAUAAGGAGAGGGCAAGACUGGUGUCAGCCGCCGCGGUAAUACCAGCUCUCCGAGUGGUGGGGACGAUUAUUGGGCUUAAAGCGUUCGUAGCCGGCUUAACAAGUCUUCCGUUAAAUCCAACGAUCUAAUCGUUGGGCUGCGGGAGAUACUGUUGGGCUAGGAGGCGGGAGAAGCCGACGGUAUUCUCGGGGUAGGGGUGAAAUCCUGUAAUCCCGGGAGGACCACCAGUGGCGAAGGCGGUCGGCUAGAACGCGCUCGACGGUGAGGGACGAAAGCUGGGGGAGCGAACCGGAUUAGAAACCCGGGUAGUCCCAGCUGUAAACGAUGCGGGCUAGUGUUGGGGUGGCCACGAGCCACUUCAGUGCCGCAUGGAAGCAAUUAAGCCCGCCGCCUGGGGAGUACGGCCGCAAGGCUGAACUUAAAGGAAUGGCGGGGGAGCACCACAAGCGUGAAGCUGCGUUAAUUGGAAUCAACGCCGG